AAGUCGUAACAAGGUUUCCGUAGGUGAACCUGCGGAAGGAUCAUUACAUUCAGUAGCUUGCUACUGUUAGGGGGGUCCAUUAGUCUGUAUAGUAUCACUACUGAUGAGCAGCACGACUCCCUGUCUAUACCCUUGUCUUUUGCGCACUCAUGUUUCCUCGGCGGCUUGAUACCCGCCGGCUGGAUCAAUCUAUAACCUUUUUAAUUUUCAAUCAGCGUCUGAAAAACCUAAUAAUUACAACUUUCAACAACGGAUCUCUUGGUUCUG
RNAcentral lists this unclassified non-coding RNA (267 nucleotides) under fungal sp. RNAcentral describes it as "partial internal transcribed spacer region". The stretch from base 1 to 46 matches the Rfam family "Eukaryotic small subunit ribosomal RNA", at positions 1786 to 1831 of the family's 1831-position model. Lineage: Eukaryota; Fungi. The record is from RNAcentral. RNAcentral also lists the same sequence under 1 other name.